CGCUGGCGGCGUGCCUAAUACAUGCAAGUCGAGCGCAGGAAGCGACACCGACCCCUUCGGGGUGACGUGUUGUGGAAUGAGCGGCGGACGGGUGAGUAACACGUGGGCAACCUACCUAUAAGACUGGGAUAACUCAUGGAAACGUGAGCUAAUACCGGAUAAGACUUCACUUCACCUGAAGAGAAGAUAAAAGGCGGCUUUUAGCUGUCACUUAUAGAUGGGCCCGCGGCGCAUUAGCUAGUUGGUGAGGUAACGGCUCACCAAGGCCACGAUGCGUAGCCGACCUGAGAGGGUGAUCGGCCACACUGGGACUGAGACACGGCCCAGACUCCUACGGGAGGCAGCAGUAGGGAAUUUUCCGCAAUGGACGAAAGUCUGACGGAGCAACGCCGCGUGAACGAUGAAGGUUUUCGGAUCGUAAAGUUCUGUUGUUAGGGAAGAACACGUACCGUUCGAAUAGGGCGGUAUCUUGACGGUACCUAACGAGAAAGCCCCGGCUAACUACGUGCCAGCAGCCGCGGUAAUACGUAGGGGGCAAGCGUUGUCUGGAAUUACUGGGCGUAAAGGAUGCGUAGGUGGAUACUUAAGUCUGAUGUGAAAGCCCGCGGCUCACCGUGGAGGGUCAUUGGAAACUGGGA
This 638-nucleotide ribosomal RNA is filed under the name uncultured bacterium. Its description in RNAcentral is "bacterial SSU rRNA". It matches the Rfam family "Bacterial small subunit ribosomal RNA", at positions 34 to 638 of the family's 1533-position model. The record is from RNAcentral.